GUCCCUGUUGCGCAAUGGAUAGCGCAUUGGACUUCUAAUCCAAAGGUCGUGGGUUCGAAUCCCACCUGGGAUG
This 73-nucleotide transfer RNA is filed under the name Trichonephila inaurata madagascariensis. It matches the Rfam family "tRNA". Rfam says of the family: Transfer RNA (tRNA) molecules are approximately 80 nucleotides in length. Lineage: Eukaryota; Metazoa; Arthropoda; Arachnida; Araneae; Nephilidae. The record is from Rfam by way of RNAcentral.